CUUCAGCUAAGAUGUUGUCUAUCGUUCCUCUAAUGAAUGGUGGCGGCUUGUUUGAAACAGGUGCUGGUGG
RNAcentral lists this transfer RNA (70 nucleotides) under Vibrio comitans NBRC 102076. RNAcentral's name for it is "tRNA-Pyl". The record is from RNAcentral. Lineage: Bacteria; Pseudomonadati; Pseudomonadota; Gammaproteobacteria; Vibrionales; Vibrionaceae.